UACGUAGGGGGCGAGCGUUGUCCGGAUUUAUUGGGCGUAAAGAGCGUGUAGGCGGCCAGGUAGGUCUGCUGUGAAAAUUCGAGGCUCAACCUCGAGACGUCGGCGGAAACCAUCUGGCUAGAGUCCGGAAGAGGAGAGUGGAAUUCCUGGUGUAGCGGUGAAAUGCGCAGAUAUCAGGAAGAACACCCGUGGCGAAGGCGGCUCUCUGGGACGGUACUGACGCUGAGACGCGAAAGCGUGGGGAGCGAACAGG
Molecule: ribosomal RNA, 253 nt
Filed under: uncultured bacterium
Lineage: Bacteria
Description: partial 16S ribosomal RNA
Rfam family: Bacterial small subunit ribosomal RNA
Source: RNAcentral